UCUUCAUUUCACACUCUCUCUCGCCUGCUGUGGCGGCGAGAGAGUGUGUGAAAUGAAGAGA
Molecule: non-coding RNA, 61 nt
Organism: Pristionchus pacificus
Lineage: Eukaryota; Metazoa; Nematoda; Chromadorea; Rhabditida; Neodiplogasteridae
Source: Rfam